GUCCAUGUAGUUCAGUGGUUAGAGCAUCAGCCCAUGCACCACAGGGUCACAGGUUCAAUUCCUGGUCAAGGGCA
Molecule: transfer RNA, 74 nt
Filed under: Myotis davidii
Lineage: Eukaryota; Metazoa; Chordata; Mammalia; Chiroptera; Vespertilionidae
Rfam family: tRNA
About the family: Transfer RNA (tRNA) molecules are approximately 80 nucleotides in length. Their secondary structure includes four short double-helical elements and three loops (D, anti-codon, and T loops).
Source: Rfam by way of RNAcentral